RNAcentral lists this ribosomal RNA (253 nucleotides) under uncultured bacterium. RNAcentral's name for it is "partial 16S ribosomal RNA". It matches the Rfam family "Bacterial small subunit ribosomal RNA", at positions 524 to 776 of the family's 1533-position model. The record is from RNAcentral.
UACGAGGGGGGCGAGCGUUGUUCGGAAUUAUUGGGCGUAAAGGGUGCGUAGGCGGUUUGGUAAGUCUGAUGUGAAAUCUAUGGGCUCAACUCAUAGUCUGCAUCGGAAACUGCCGGGCUUGAGUAUGGGAGAGGUGAGUGGAAUUCCUGGUGUAGCGGUGAAAUGCGUAGAUAUCAGGAGGAACACCGGUGGCGAAGGCGGUUCUCUGGGCAUGUCCUGACGCUGAGGAGCGAAAGUGUGGGGAGCGAACAGG